This 400-nucleotide long non-coding RNA is filed under the name Homo sapiens (human). RNAcentral describes it as "HSALNT0324277". The record is from RNAcentral. Lineage: Eukaryota; Metazoa; Chordata; Mammalia; Primates; Hominidae.
UUGCCACAGGCAUGCCUUCACAGAAGUCACUUAACUAAGUCUAGGUUCCUCAUCUGUGAACUGAGAAAACUAAAAGCACUGAUUCCAUGGGGUGCUUAGGAAGAAGUCACCCAUGACUAUCUGGAACAACAUUGUGGGGAAGGCCAAGUUUCUGUGGUGACGUGUGGCAAAUGGAUUGUAAAUGAAGAUAGACUGUGUAAUGAAUGACGACACUAAAGACUAAUGUGAAGGACUUUAGGGAAAACAAAAGGCUUUCAUCUGAAAGGAUGAUCUGUGGACCAAGGUCACUCAUACCACUCACUGCUCAUUUUCUCAUGUUAUUUUAAAACUUUUUUCGGCCUUUAUACUGCUUUCAGCAGCAUUUGUGUGUAAGAAGUGGACGAUGACUUUAAUAAAGAGA